GAUGAACGCUGGCGGCGUGCCUAAUACAUGCAAGUCGAGCGAACGGACGCGAAGCUUGCUUCUCUGAUGUUAGCGGCGGACGGGUGAGUAACACGUGGAUAACCUACCUAUAAGACUGGGAUCACUUCGGGAAACCGGCGCUAAUACCGGAUGAUCUUUUGAACCGCAUGGUUCAAAAGUGAAAGACGGUCUUGCUGUCACUUAUAGAUGGAUCCGCGCUGCAUUAGCUAGUUGGGAAGGUAACGGCUUACCAAGGCAACGAUGCAUAGACGACCUGAGAGGGUGAUCGGCCACACUGGAACGGAGACACGGUCCAGACUACUACGGGAGGCAGCAGUAGGGAAUCUUCCGCAAUAGGCGAAAGCCUGACGGAGCAACGCCGCGUGAGUGAUGAAGGUCUUCGGAUCGUAAAACUCUGUUAUUAGGGAAGAACAUAUGUGUAAGUAACUGUGCACACCUUGACGGUACCUAAUCAGAAAGCCACGGCUAACUACGUG
RNAcentral lists this ribosomal RNA (497 nucleotides) under uncultured bacterium. Its description in RNAcentral is "partial 16S ribosomal RNA". It matches the Rfam family "Bacterial small subunit ribosomal RNA", at positions 28 to 507 of the family's 1533-position model. The record is from RNAcentral.